Molecule: ribosomal RNA, 301 nt
Filed under: uncultured bacterium
Lineage: Bacteria
Description: partial 16S ribosomal RNA
Rfam family: Bacterial small subunit ribosomal RNA
Source: RNAcentral
CAGUAGCCGCGGUAAAACGUAGGUCCCGAGCGUUGUCCGGAUUUAUUGGGCGUAAAGCGAGCGCAGGCGGUUAGAUAAGUCUGAAGUUAAAGGCUGUGGCUUAACCAUAGUACGCUUUGGAAACUGUUUAACUUGAGUGCAAGAGGGGAGAGUGGAAUUCCACGUGUAGCGGUGAAAUGCGUAGAUAUAUGGAGGAACACCGGUGGCGAAAGCGGCUCUCUGGCUUGUAACUGACGCUGAGGCUCGAAAGCGUGGGGAGCAAACAGGAUUAGAUACCCCUGUAGUCCCUGUCUCUUAUACA